RNAcentral lists this signal recognition particle RNA (314 nucleotides) under Candidatus Methanoperedentaceae archaeon. Its description in RNAcentral is "Candidatus Methanoperedenaceae archaeon signal recognition particle sRNA". It matches the Rfam family "Archaeal signal recognition particle RNA". Lineage: Archaea; Methanobacteriati; Methanobacteriota; Methanomicrobia; Methanosarcinales; Candidatus Methanoperedentaceae. The record is from RNAcentral.
CGGCGGGCUAGCCCGGGUAACUCGGCGUUAUCUGUAACCCGAAACCGUCGACAGCGGGGGGCGAAGCCGAAGGAAGAAGUUUUGACUAUUGCAUGACCCACAUGUUCUACUGUGAAACCCCGUCCUAUGGGGCUGGUGUUGGUACAGAGGCUUUCCUGAAGGAAGGUUUUUGUGCCUUAGUUGCGGAAAAAGGUCUAGGCCCGGAAGGGAGCAAACCAGCCGUGAACAACUAUCGCUCAUGGGGGCGCGGGGCGGAGGCGAGCCAGUGGCCAACCAUGCAGUGGAAGAGGCUGCGACCCAAGGCGUGCCUGCUA